UACGUAGGGGCUAGCGUUAUCCGGAUUUAUUGGGUUUAAAGGGUGCGUAGGCGGCUUUUUAAGUCAGCGGUGAAAUUUUGCAGCUUAACUGUAACAGUGCCGUUGAUACUGGGGAGCUAGGAUUUGGUUGCUGUGGGUGGAAUGUGUGGUGUAGCGGUGAAAUGCUUAGAGAUCACACAGAAUAUCGAUUGCGAAGGCAGCUCACAAAGCCAAGAUUGACGCUGAGGCACGAAAGUGUGGGGAUCAAACAGGAUUAGAUACCCCGGUA
RNAcentral lists this ribosomal RNA (268 nucleotides) under uncultured prokaryote. RNAcentral's name for it is "partial 16S ribosomal RNA". It matches the Rfam family "Bacterial small subunit ribosomal RNA", at positions 524 to 792 of the family's 1533-position model. The record is from RNAcentral.